CUACGGGUGGCUGCAGUGGGGAAUAUUGCACAAUGGGGGGAACCCUGAUGCAGCAACGCCGCGUGGAGGAUGACGCAUUUCGGUGUGUAAACUCCUUUUAUAUGUCAAGAAAAUGACGGUAGCAUAUGAAUAAGCACCGGCUAACUCCGUGCCAGCAGCCGCGGUAAUACGGAGGGUGCAAGCGUUACUCGGAAUCACUGGGCGUAAAGGACGCGUAGGCGGGUUGGAAAGUCAGGUGUGAAAUCCUACAGCUUAACUGUAGAACUGCACUUGAAACUUCUAAUCUAGAGUAUGGGAGGGGGAGAUGGAAUUAGUGGUGUAGGGGUAAAAUCCGUAGAUAUCACUAGGAAUACCUAAAGCGAAGGCGAUCUCCUGGAACAUUACUGACGCUAAGGCGUGAAAGCGUGGGGAGCAAACAGGAUUAGAUACCCGAGUAGUC
This 439-nucleotide ribosomal RNA is filed under the name uncultured bacterium. RNAcentral's name for it is "partial 16S ribosomal RNA". It matches the Rfam family "Bacterial small subunit ribosomal RNA", at positions 339 to 795 of the family's 1533-position model. The record is from RNAcentral.